UCAGAUUGAACGCUGGCGGCAUGCUUUACACAUGCAAGUCGAACGGCAGCGAGGAGAAGCUAGCUUCUCUGUCGGCGAGUGGCGAACGGGUGAGUAUAGCAUCGGAACGUGCCAAGUAGUGGGGGAUAACCAAACGAAAGUUUGGCUAAUACCGCGUAAGCUCCAAGGAGGAAAGUAGGGGACCUAAAUAAGGCCUUACGCUAUUUGAUCGGCCGAUGUCGGAUUAGUUAGUUGGUGGGGUAAUGGCUCACCAAGGCAAUGAUCCGUAGCGGGUCUGAGAGGACGAUCCGCCACACUGGGACUGAGACACGGCCCAGACUCCUACGGGAGGCAGCAGUGGGGAAUUUUGGACAAUGGGGGAAACCCUGAUCCAGCCAUGCCGCGUGUAUGAAGAAGGCCUUAGGGUUGUAAAGUACUUUUGUUAGGGAAGAAAAGCUAGUUUUUAAUAAAAAUUAGUGAUGACGGUACCUAAAGAAUAAGCACCGGCUAACUACGUGCCAGCAGCCGCGGUAAUACGUAGGGUGCAAGCGUUAAUCGGAAUUAUUGGGCGUAAAGCGAGUGCAGACGGUUACUUAAGCCAGAUGUGAAAUCCCCAAGCUUAACUUGGGACGUGCAUUUGGAACUGGGUGACUAGAGUGUGUCAGAGGGAGGUAGAAUUCCACAUGUAGCGGUGGAAUGCGUAGAGAUGUGGAGGAAUACCGAUGGCGAAGGCAGCCUCCUGGGAUAACACUGACGUUGAGGCUCGAAAGCGUGGGGAGCAAACAGGAUUAGAUACCU
RNAcentral lists this ribosomal RNA (777 nucleotides) under uncultured Neisseriales bacterium. RNAcentral describes it as "bacterial SSU rRNA". It matches the Rfam family "Bacterial small subunit ribosomal RNA", at positions 24 to 787 of the family's 1533-position model. The record is from RNAcentral. Lineage: Bacteria; Pseudomonadati; Pseudomonadota; Betaproteobacteria; Neisseriales.